CCUACGGGGGGCAGCAGUGAGGAAUAUUGGUCAAUGGACGCAAGUCUGAACCAGCCAUGCCACGUGCAGGAAGACGGCUCUAUGAGUUGUAAACUGCUUUUGUACGAGGGUAAACGCAGAUACGUGUAUCUGUCUGAAAGUACCUUACGAAUAAGGAUCGGCUAACUCCGUGCCAGCAGCCGCGGUAAUACGGAGGAUUCAAGCGUUAUCCGGAUUUAUUGGGUUUAAAGGGUGCGUAGGCGGUCGGAUAAGUUAGAGGUGAAAUCCCGGGGCUUAACUUCGGAAUUGCCUCUGAUACUGUUGGUCUAGAGAGUAGGUGAGGUAGGCGGAAUGUAUGGUGUAGCGGUGAAAUGCUUAGAGAUCAUACAGAACACCGAUUGCGAAGGCAGCUUACCAAGCUAACACUGACGUUGAGGCACGAAAGCGUGGGGAGCAAACAGGAUUAGAUACCCUAGUAGUC
This 460-nucleotide ribosomal RNA is filed under the name uncultured bacterium. RNAcentral describes it as "partial 16S ribosomal RNA". It matches the Rfam family "Bacterial small subunit ribosomal RNA", at positions 338 to 795 of the family's 1533-position model. The record is from RNAcentral.